GAGUGAAACUCAAAGGAAUUGACGGGGACCCGCACAAGUAGCGGAGCAUGUGGUUUAAUUCGAAGCAACGCGAAGAACCUUACCUAAGCUGGACAUCCCAAUGACAUCUCCUUAAUCGGAGAGUUCCUUUCGGGGACAUUGGUGACAGGUGGUGCAUGGUUGUCGUCAGCUCGUGUCGUGAGAUGUUGGGUUAAGUCCCGCAACGAGCGCAACCCUUG
This 218-nucleotide ribosomal RNA is filed under the name Clostridioides difficile. RNAcentral's name for it is "partial 16S ribosomal RNA". It matches the Rfam family "Bacterial small subunit ribosomal RNA", at positions 892 to 1107 of the family's 1533-position model. The record is from RNAcentral. Lineage: Bacteria; Bacillati; Bacillota; Clostridia; Peptostreptococcales; Peptostreptococcaceae.